This 856-nucleotide ribosomal RNA is filed under the name Klebsiella pneumoniae subsp. pneumoniae. RNAcentral describes it as "bacterial LSU rRNA". It matches the Rfam family "Bacterial large subunit ribosomal RNA", at positions 399 to 1257 of the family's 2925-position model. The record is from RNAcentral. Lineage: Bacteria; Pseudomonadati; Pseudomonadota; Gammaproteobacteria; Enterobacterales; Enterobacteriaceae.
GUGAACUCGAAGAGUAGGGCGGGACACGUGGUAUCCUGUCUGAAUAUGGGGGGACCAUCCUCCAAGGCUAAAUACUCCUGACUGACCGAUAGUGAACCAGUACCGUGAGGGAAAGGCGAAAAGAACCCCGGCGAGGGGAGUGAAAAAGAACCUGAAACCGUGUACGUACAAGCAGUGGGAGCACCUUCGGGUGUGACUGCGUACCUUUUGUAUAAUGGGUCAGCGACUUAUAUUCUGUAGCAAGGUUAACCGUAUAGGGGAGCCGCAGGGAAACCGAGUCUUAACUGGGCGUUAAGUUGCAGGGUAUAGACCCGAAACCCGGUGAUCUAGCCAUGGGCAGGUUGAAGGUUGGGUAACACUAACUGGAGGACCGAACCGACUAAUGUUGAAAAAUUAGCGGAUGACUUGUGGCUGGGGGUGAAAGGCCAAUCAAACCGGGAGAUAGCUGGUUCUCCCCGAAAGCUAUUUAGGUAGCGCCUCGUGAACUCAUCUUCGGGGGUAGAGCACUGUUUCGGCUAGGGGGUCAUCCCGACUUACCAACCCGAUGCAAACUACGAAUACCGAAGAAUGUUAUCACGGGAGACACACGGCGGGUGCUAACGUCCGUCGUGAAGAGGGAAACAACCCAGACCGCCAGCUAAGGUCCCAAAGUCAUGGUUAAGUGGGAAACGAUGUGGGAAGGCACAGACAGCCAGGAUGUUGGCUUAGAAGCAGCCAUCAUUUAAAGAAAGCGUAAUAGCUCACUGGUCGAGUCGGCCUGCGCGGAAGAUGUAACGGGGCUAAACCAUGCACCGAAGCUGCGGCAGCGACACUAUGUGUUGUUGGGUAGGGGAGCGUUCUGUAAGCCUGCGAAGGU